CUGUAAUAGUGCUGACAUAUUUCAGCUGAAUUGCACUUUUUUGUAUCAUAUCAUAAAUGUAGUGAUAAUGAGAUUCCACAUGUUUUGACCUGUCAUAAAACACAUGAUUAACAAACAUCUUAAUACAAUUUUGAUUGUCACAAUUAAUGACUGUGGGUUCCCAAGGUUGCCCAAACAACCUAGCAAGAAGCUUUGUGAAGCCACAUUGCUUCACACUUGACGCAAUGUACUCAACUUCCGUUGUACUCAAUGCAAUUGAGGACUGAUACUUGUUGGCACAAGAGAUCAUGACUGAACCCAACUUGAAACAGAUUCCUAAAGUGUCCUUCCCGUCAGUAAUACAUUCUUCCCAAUCCGAAUCAAAGUAGCCUUCCAAGGAAAUGACAGUGUUGAUUGGAUACUUCAGCCUGUAGCCAACUGUUUCUCGCAAAUAUCUCAGGAUAUCCUUGGUUGGAACAAGACAAACAUGCUUAGGUUUGUUCAUGAACUGGCUGAGGGCACUCACUGCAUAACAAAUAUUAUGUCUAGUGUUAACUAGAUGCAUUGAGGAUCCAAUCAACUACCUGUACUUCGAUGGAUCUGCAAAAUCAGAGUUAGCUGUAGAUAAACUCAAUUUCUAUAGGAGCAGACAUAGGUUUGCAAUCCAUCAUAUCAAUGUCAUAUUGUUCUUGACUAAGGAUAAGAUCUUUGCCAUACUUCUAGUCCUAGACAGUAAUGCAUUAGGCCUAGAUCCUUCAUUCCAAAUUCAGUGGCUAAUUCUUUCUUACAUCUAAUGAUGAGACUAUCUCCAACAGUUAGAAAUAAAUCAUCCACAUAUAAAAAAAACAGAAUUAGCAUUUCACUAUUGAAUACUUUUAAAGUAAAGGUUAGAAUCAACAUCAUUCUUGCAAGAUCCUAAACUAAUCAAAUACUUAUCAAUCCUUUUUGUAUAGAGCUUUCUUCAAUCUGCACACAUAAGAUUCUCUAUCUUGAAUCUCAUAUUCUUCAGAUUAUUCAAUUAAGAAAAGUAUUCUUUAUAUCCAACUUCCAGCCUUUAGCUACAACAUUAGCUAUAAUGAUUCUAAUAUUGGUAUAUCUAGCAACAGGAGCAAGUGUUUCCUUGUAACCAAGAGCUAUACAUCUAGCUUCAUAUUUCUCAAUACUUCUAUUAACACAAUUACUGAAGAUUGUAGGGAACAUGGAACUUCCUUAAAAUAAGAUUGUGAUAAGAAUCAACUAAUGAAAGCGACCAACUAAGUUUCCAUAAAAAAUGAGAAAUGCCAAUCUUUUCCUUACUUCACUUUUAUGAAAUGGACCCAUAGCACAAUCCUUAUGAUAAUGGCAUACCUUCAAGUGAAUGAACUGAGAGUUUGUAUAGACUCUUAUUACCAAGCCCCCUCUGAAGCUUGAAGGCAUGAUAGUUCAAGACUAUCUUGAAGAGAAGUAUCAAUGUUAGGAUCAAACAUGAUUCAAUAUCCCAAUAGAAUGAAUUAACAAGAAAAUUCAUGAACAUGUAAGAUAACUUAUCUCUUUAUUGACUAGACUUCCACCAUUGAUAACAUAUGCAAAGAUUGCUCAAAACAGUUAGUAUAACACAAGGAUUUUGUACAUUGCUAGUCCAAAGAAUAUGAUCAACUUCACUCACUACACAACAUUCUUUAAUGUAAAAAUUGUUUUCCAUAACAAAGAGAUAGCCAUGCCUAAUCUGAUCAGAAAAUUAAGGCAAGUGGAUGCCUUCAAAAAAAUUUGACAAUCUAACAUAAUACAAAAUCCAUAAGCAAGGUAUAUAAGCCAAAUUGCCUUUCCAGCCAGUGCGUAAAAUCAAAUAUGAGUAUCAACCACUCAAAAGAUACACAAUGUAGUUGAACACAAACAUGUGAUCAAAAGAACUAAGUUAGAUACCUCAUUGAUCUUAGGUUUCAUCAUCAAGAGAAUAUUUACUUCAAAACAAUGUAAUAGGCAGUAUGCUCAAGUUGAAGAGAUAAUAUCACAAUGAAUAUCAUGUGAGGAUAGUGAAAGCCAUGACAAAAAAUGCAUUAGAGCUAAAGGCAAUCCUCUACACAAGAGAGUAUAGCAAAGUAUAACAAAGAUCAUGAGAUCUUUACGAAGAGUUGAUGAGAACCAAGAGUUGCACAGUCACAACCCUACAUGACAACCUUAUCCAAACAUAAAACACUCAGAGAGCAGAAAUACAGUCCAUACGAUGUUAAAAGAUUUGAUGCAAAUCAAGAGACACACCAUAAGAGUAUAUAAUUCCAGAGCAGCAAGACUAUUGAGCAUUUCAAGACAGAUAGAAUACGGUGCAUCAGAACUACGCAUCAAGUAUCAUAAAGGAUCAGAUCACAAUAUGAAGAUAGUAAGGCCAUCAUUAGGCAUAGCUAUUGAAUAGGAUGACUAAGGCAUCUUACUUUUACAUGCCUAUCACACCAAUGAUUAAAGGACACUAUUCAUUAUAUGUUUUCAAUUAAUGUUCCAUAUUUCUAAAUCUCCUAUAAAUUUCAUUCAUCUUUCAAUCUUAUGCUUGCUGGUGUAUCUGUCAGGAUACUCCUAGUUUUAUAUCUAAAACAGAUGCUGAUAAUAUUAAGUGUCAAGGAUGAUAUAUUCAGAUCAAUGCAUCAAUUUGGAUCAUCACAUAUUCAUAGCAAAUCACAUCAAGAAGGAUGAGAGAUAAACAUACUCAAAAUAGAGAGUAAGACAAUCCGAAUACCAACUUCAACAAUCUGAACUAAGGAUUAGAACAAAUUCUUAAAGCAAGAACAAAGCUUGAACUAGGCUGAUAGUUACAAGCCUUAGGAUGACAAUUAUAUAGUCCUUAAUGGAAUAAAAGAAAUACGUAAGAUCUGAAGCUAGAAGGAAACAAUUGCACAAACCAACAUAUGAAGGCACUCUCUGAUGAAAUAGUUAACAAGCAAGAGAACCCUAUGCACUAGUUAAGAUCCCAAACUAAGGUUGUAAAAAGACAACUAGUACAAAUAACGACAAGGCAGGCAGAUACAAGUCUCCAAAACUUUCUUAACAGAGGUAAGCAAUGAGGGUAGAGGAGUAAGAACAACUGUAUACAAAGAUUGAAUCCUUCAUAUUCUUGUUAUUGCCCCAUCGGUGCCCUCAAUUUGACAAGCAGAUAUAUUGUCUAGAUUCGUUGCUGAUUCAUGCCAGCCCUAGUCAUGCAAAAGAAGUAAUACAAGAUCUACCUUCAAGCUGUUAGGCUUUAUAGAAGGAACUUGCUCUGAUACCAUGUUAAUUUUAGAACUCAGAUUAAACAGUAAACAACAGAAAUCAGAAUGCAAUGAAGAACAAACACAAAACACACAGAUACCCUAGGAAAACCUCCCUCUUGGAGGUGGAAAACCCAGCCACUAAUCUCAGAUCUUUAUUGGGCAACACCAAUUUAAUUUACAAUGAGCUUCACUCUUUAACAACAACCUAAUCAUAGUUAUACUUCUAACCUAGGGCAUGCUGAAAUGAUGAACUUAUUUGCAAUACAAAAGUUGUUGUCUCAGGGAUGAAGUUUGCUGAUCCUAGAAUGGUGUUCACAGCCUUCAAGAAUAGUUCGCUGAUCUUCAAAUGAUGACUGCUGCCACUUGAAACCAGUUCGCAGUCACUAAGUGGUGUUCGCUGUCUUCUAGAUGAUGGUUGCUAUCUUCAAGAAGAAUUCGCUGAUCUCUUAGAAGGAUUCGCUGAAUACUUAGAUUACUUGCAGAUUAGAGAAGUAAUUCACUUGAGUGUGUUGUAUCAUACAAUGAUUGAUAGCCUUGUAUAUAUAGGAGACACGGCCUUUUAAUUCUCUCAAGUCGGCUUCUAUGAAGAACAUAUUUAAUUACAAUUCAAUGCUUUAAGGUUGGCGCCAAAACUGAAAUAGCCCUUACGUUACAAGUGAUUUUAAUAUAGGUCAGCUCCAACACGUUUUAAUACAAGUUACAUUCAAUAGGCCUUGUCCUAUCCACAAGUUACAUUAUAUAGGUCUUGCCCUAUCCACAAGUUACAUUAUAUAGGUCUUGCCCAAUAUUCAUAGCAAGCUAUAAUUACAUGUAAUCCAAACUUAGCUAUAAUUUCAACAAAAAGUAUUUCCCAAAAAACAUCUGUGCGAGUGUGAGCUAUGUGAGUAAAAAGAACUCCCUCGUAAAUGAAACUCCCAUAGAAUACGAUGGAGCAAAAGAAAACCAAUCCUCCCCAAAAUGGCAUUACCUUCUUGAAACUUAAGUGACAUGUAUAAAAUGCUUACGGGGUGGUAGAAAGAAUGUAAUGCCCCACCUCUUAAAAUAAGAAUGCAAAGCUUCUGCAACAAAGGCUGUUAGCUAAUUUCUCCUUAAAUGCAUAUUAUAUAAAAUAUCUAAGUUGCUGGUCUCGGUUCUGAUUCGGAUUCUGGUUCUCAAAUUCGUUCAAAUUUUUUUUGGGGUGGGUUUGAGUUCACUUUGGGUUUGUCCGUACAAAAACAUAUAAAAAUAAAAAAUAUAUACAUAUAUGCAGCAGCAAAUAAAUUCAUAAUACAUUAUUGCCAAGUGUCAACUAUGCUAAUAGACUAAUAGUAAAGUAACAUAGCAAAAUACGCCACCAUAUAUAUAUUAAUGUUUUAGUCCAAAUGGCAAAUAACAUAGCAAAAUGCCAAAAUACACCACCUUAUCAAUGUUUCAGUUCAAAAAUAAUAUUGUCAAUACUAACAAUCAGCCAUCCCUAAUCAAAUAUCAUCAAAAGUCAUCAAACAUAUAAUCAAAAUAGGCAAUAAAAAAAUAGAAAAAAACGUGUUUAGCGCCCAAAAUCGGCUUGGGUUCUGCUGCUAAAUUUGAAAUUCACUCCGAAGUCCCCAAAAUUCUUCUUGGGUCCUUCUCAAUGAACCCAUAAGGCAAAUUUGGGACCCUAGAAGAAUUUGCAGUGAAUUUGUAAAGGACCAGAAUUUUUGUAGAACCGAAGCAAGACCCUGGGGAAUUCUAGAAGAAUCUGGCAACAUAGAGAUUUUAAGAAAAUAAUUUAUAGUCAAGCCUUAGAAGUAAGCUUGAGCUAGCUGAAGAAGUUGGUAACCAAAGAGACAUCACUCGGGUGGGUAGUGAUUCCGUUUGGGUCAAGGGACAAAAAGCAAUGAGCUUGUCCUCAAUUGUCACCAUCUCAUGAAGGUCAUUAUUGACUGCUAUAAACUUAUAUGUUAGUAGACAUCAUACAGUUGAAGAUACCUAAAAGAUUAAUAAGGUCAAUGACCAACUCUAAAUGAGCAACAUUCUUUUCUAAUGAUCAAUAAAGGUUAUUUGUCUUGAUCUGUUAUGAAAUAGUGGGUCUUUUAAAUAAGUACUAAUCAAUGAAUAAUUAUCUCAGUUGAAUGGUCUCGAGAAGUCAAGAAGGUAGAAUAUCCAUGUUUAGUUGAAAGGUGAAAAUGUUAACUUACUUUCCUAUGAUGGUCGUUAUGACCAUUGGUGUCAAUAGACAUUAAGCAGAUGGAUUGUCUAGUGGGUUAUUAUCCUAUGAUGAUCAUUCAUGACCAUUAUUAUCAGUAAACAUUGAACAUUUGUUGGUUAGUAAACCAGUGGUUUAAAUGGGAUCAAGUGAAUGUUACUGUCCUAAGAAGGUCAUUGUAGACUGUUAAUGUCAAUAUACAUGAGACAAAUUGCUAAUUAAAUAGUUAAAGAGCCAGUGGGUCAGUUUUACCCAAAUGUUGUGUUCAGUGAGUCAGUUGAAUUCUUGUAUGUACAAGUCUAGCAAGGGCGGUGGAUGUUGACAAUGUGUUAAAUGUGCUUGCAAUGUUAAAACCUUGGCCAAGGUGGUGCUACAUUGUGUAUGUGACCGUCAGUUCACAUGAACCAGAUACACCUACUAGUUAAACUGGUCAUACUAGUUACAAGAUACCUAUAGUGUGUGACCGACUAGAAGCGUGUAGGUUCUAAACACCAAGCUUAGAUGGCAAGAUGGCAACUACGACUCAUCCUUAGUCUGCACCCUCAUGUAGGGUUGGGCCCUUUCUGGUAGGAAGGAGCACAAGAGACUGCCAAGUUUGUGGUUGGGUGAAAAAGCCCUUGAUGAUGCUCUUCCUCACUUAGACUAUGUUGAGGCUUGUACCAAAUAUUCGUUCAAUGGAGGUGAAAAGAUAGAACUGAGUUUGAGAAAUUAGAAUAGAGUUGAAGAUCUAAGCAAGGAGGCUAGAUUUGAGUGUGAAUCCAAAUAAUGGAGAUCUGGUGUCCAAAGAUGCAUUAGUGAGGAUUGGACCAUGCAUUGCUUGCUGUGUAGGCAAUAGAUUGAAGACUUGCAGUAACGCUUAAGAGUACAAAAGUAUUUUGUAAUCCAUGUGUGAAGUAGGAGCGAGUUUCUAGUGAAGCCCAUUGUAUUGGAUUGUAAGACCUUUCAGUUUGUGAUUGUUUUAGCCUUUUAGGCUUUAAGGCCUAACUGUAAUGCCUAGCAGCUCGAUGUAAUUACUGUAGAUAAAUAAAGACAUCAUUAUCUCUA
Cryptomeria japonica (Japanese cedar) is the source of this 6405-nucleotide long non-coding RNA. RefSeq lists it as uncharacterized. The transcript is spliced from 2 exons. NCBI's taxonomy places the organism in Eukaryota, Viridiplantae, Streptophyta, Pinopsida, Cupressales, Cupressaceae. The record is from RefSeq and is a predicted model, not a curated record.